This 197-nucleotide unclassified non-coding RNA is filed under the name plant metagenome. RNAcentral's name for it is "partial contains small subunit ribosomal RNA, internal transcribed spacer 1, and 5.8S ribosomal RNA". The record is from RNAcentral.
UCUCCGUUGGUGAACCAGCGGAGGGAUCAUUACCGAGUUUACAACUCCCAAACCCCUGUGAACAUACCUAUCGUUGCCUCGGCGGCGCCCGCUCCGGCGGCCCGCCAGAGGACCCCCAAACUCUUGUUUUAUACAGUAUCUUCUGAGUAACACGAUUAAAUAAAUCAAAACUUCCAACAACGGAUCUCUUGGUUCUG